UACAGAGGGGGCAAGCGUUAUUCGGAAUUAUUGGGCGUAAAGGGCGCGUAGGCGGCCUGGCAAGUGGAAGGUGAAAUCCCUCGGCUUAACCGAGGAACUGCCUUCCAAACUGCUUGGCUUGAGUCCGGGAGAGGUGAGUGAAAUUCCCAGUGUAGCGGUGAAAUGCGCAGAUAUCGGGAAGAACACCCGUGGCGAAGGCGGCUCUCUGGGACGGUACUGACGCUGAGACGCGAAAGCGUGGGGAGCAAACAGG
This 253-nucleotide ribosomal RNA is filed under the name uncultured bacterium. Its description in RNAcentral is "partial 16S ribosomal RNA". It matches the Rfam family "Bacterial small subunit ribosomal RNA", at positions 524 to 776 of the family's 1533-position model. The record is from RNAcentral.